CCAUCAGAAUAAUAAAAAAUCUUCGCAUUUGCGGGGAUUGCCAUAGCUACAUGAAGAUCAUGUCAAAAGCCGUGGGGCGUGAGCUUAUCAUACGGGACGCCAAGAGGUUUCACCAUUUCAAGGACGGUUUAUGCUCCUGCAAAGAUUACUGGUAAGGACAAGCGGGAGAGAGAGGAACGGAGAAGGUAAUUUUAACUUUUUUGCGGCAACACGAAUGCCGAAUAGCUUACAUCAGAGAAGUCGGUGCGUUCUGUUUCCACCCACCUUUGUGCUCUUGCCGUUGAGGCGGCAAGUACACUGGUCUAUCCUCUUCUGACGGGCCGGUGGCGUCCAUUGCUGCAUCCUCUUCUCACCCCGACUGGAAUGGAACCAUCCGAGGGGGUUGAUUGUCUCAUUUUGAAGUCGAUGAUGCGAUUAGAAAAGGUUGGAUUGGCUUGGCUGCAUCUCCCAUUCCAUGGAUGAAAGGAGGAGCCAGCGUGUCCUGCCAUUUACGUCACGGCCUGCUGGAAUGAAUGGGUCCGGACAGGGUGAUCUUCUGGUGGCUCAGGCAAUUUCUUGGGUUCCCGACCCGACUGAGGAUGCCCGUCUUCUCCUGCGAUCGGGGCGGGGGGCGUUACCUUGCGCGACGGCCUUGGCCGAGCCAAUGCGCCGGUGGUAUAUGUAGUGCGCGCUUGCCGUAGACUAGAUGCCUGUCUGAGCCCCCGACGGAUGCGAGGGAGCUCAUUCCGGGUUUGUUAUUCGUGAUAGCCUUUUUCAGGUCUCCCCCUCUCAACGUGUGGGCUGGGGAGCGCGUCUAUUGAAGUCUGUCUUUCCCGCAGAACCCACCACCCUUCUUGCCCAGUCAUUUGAUGGAUCUUCGUUCGACGAAUGCGUCAGCAUGCCGUGAGGCAGAGGCUUCUUUUAUCUCUCUCUCUCUCUCUCUCUCUCUCUCUCUCCCCCUCCCUC
This 945-nucleotide long non-coding RNA is filed under the name Spirodela polyrhiza (greater duckweed). Its description in RNAcentral is "long non-coding RNA (SPOL_LNC000688)". Lineage: Eukaryota; Viridiplantae; Streptophyta; Magnoliopsida; Alismatales; Araceae. The record is from RNAcentral.